GACAGAGGGUGCAAACGUUGCUCGGAAUCACUGGGCGUAAAGGGCGUGUAGGCGGGAAGGAAAGUCAGAUGUGAAAUCCCUGGGCUCAACCCAGGAACUGCAUUUGAAACUCCCUUUCUUGAGUGUCGGAGAGGAAAGCGGAAUUCCUGGUGUAGCGGUGAAAUGCGCAGAUAUCAGGAAGAACACCCGUGGCGAAGGCGGCUCUCUGGUACGUGACUGACGCUGAGACGCGAAAGCGUGGGGAGCGAACAGG
Molecule: ribosomal RNA, 253 nt
Filed under: uncultured bacterium
Lineage: Bacteria
Description: partial 16S ribosomal RNA
Rfam family: Bacterial small subunit ribosomal RNA
Source: RNAcentral